Molecule: ribosomal RNA, 253 nt
Filed under: uncultured bacterium
Lineage: Bacteria
Description: partial 16S ribosomal RNA
Rfam family: Bacterial small subunit ribosomal RNA
Source: RNAcentral
GACGGAGGAGGCUAGCGUUGUUCGGAAUUACUGGGCGUAAAGCGCGCGCAGGCGGCUUUGCAAGUCAGGGGUGAAAGCCCGGGGCUCAACCGCGGAACUGCCUUUGAGACUGGAAGGCUCGAGACCGGGAGAGGAGAGUGGAAUUCCCAGUGUAGAGGUGAAAUUCGUAGAUAUUGGGAAGAACACCAGUGGCGAAGGCGGCUCUCUGGCCCGGACCUGACGCUGAGGCGCGAAAGCGUGGGGAGCAAACAGG